GCCUGAGUAGCUCAGCCUGGAUAGAGCACGUCCCUCCUAAGGACGGGGUCGCAGGUUCAAAUCCUGUCUCGGGCG
This 75-nucleotide transfer RNA is filed under the name Candidatus Pacearchaeota archaeon. RNAcentral's name for it is "tRNA-Arg". It matches the Rfam family "tRNA". From Rfam's summary of the family: Transfer RNA (tRNA) molecules are approximately 80 nucleotides in length. Their secondary structure includes four short double-helical elements and three loops (D, anti-codon, and T loops). Further hydrogen bonds mediate the characteristic L-shaped molecular structure. tRNAs have two regions of fundamental functional importance: the anti-codon, which is responsible for specific mRNA codon recognition, and the 3' end, to which the tRNAs corresponding amino acid is attached (by aminoacyl-tRNA synthetases). tRNAs cope with the degeneracy of the genetic code in two manners: having more than one tRNA (with a specific anti-codon) for a particular amino acid; and 'wobble' base-pairing, i.e. permitting non-standard base-pairing at the 3rd anti-codon position. Lineage: Archaea; Nanobdellati. The record is from RNAcentral.